AACAGGAUUAGAUACCCUGGUAGUCCACGCCCUAAACGAUGUCAACUAGUUGUUGGUAGAGUAAAAUCUAUGAGUAACGCAGCUAACGCGUGAAGUUGACCGCCUGGGGAGUACGAUCGCAAGAUUAAAACUCAAAUGAAUUGACGGGGGCCCGCACAAGCGGUGGAUUAUGUGGAUUAAUUCGAUGCAACGCGAAAAACCUUGCCUGGCCUUGACAUGUACGGAACUUUCCAGAGAUGGAUUGGUGCUCGAAAGAGAACCGUAACACAGGUGCUGCAUGGCUGUCGUCAGCUCGUGUCGUGAGAUGUUGGGUUAAGUCCCGCAACGAGCGCAACCCUUGCCAAUAAUUGCCAUCAUUUAGUUGGGCACUUUAUUGGGACUGCCGAUGACAAAUCGGAGGAAGGUGGGGAUGACGUCAAGUCCUCAUGGCCCUUAUGGCCAGGGCUUCACACGUAAUACAAUGGUCGGUACAGAGGGUCGCCAACCCGCGAGGGGGAGCUAAUCCCAGAAAGCCGAUCGUAGUCCGGAUUGUUCUCUGCAACUCGAGAGCAUGAAGUCGGAAUCGCUAGUAAUCGCGGAUCAGCAUGUCGCGGUGAAUACGUUCCCGGGCCUUGUACACACCGCCCGUCACACCAUGGGAGUGGGUUUUACCAGAAGUAGGUAGUCUAACCGCAAGGAGGGCGCUUACCACGGUAGUAUUCAUGACUGGGGUGAAGUCGUAACAAGGUAACC
This 732-nucleotide ribosomal RNA is filed under the name uncultured bacterium. RNAcentral's name for it is "bacterial SSU rRNA". It matches the Rfam family "Bacterial small subunit ribosomal RNA", at positions 771 to 1501 of the family's 1533-position model. The record is from RNAcentral.